This 478-nucleotide ribosomal RNA is filed under the name uncultured bacterium. RNAcentral's name for it is "partial 16S ribosomal RNA". It matches the Rfam family "Bacterial small subunit ribosomal RNA", at positions 355 to 822 of the family's 1533-position model. The record is from RNAcentral.
UGGGGAAUAUUGGACAAUGGGGGCAACCCUGAUCCAGCCAUGCCGCGUGUGUGAAGAAGGCCUUUUGGUUGUAAAGCACUUUAAGCAGGGAGGAGAGGCUAAUGGUUAAUACCCAUUAGAUUAGACGUUACCUGCAGAAUAAGCACCGGCUAACUCUGUGCCAGCAGCCGCGGUAAAUACAGAGGGUGCGAGCGUUAAUCGGAAUUACUGGGCGUAAAGCGAGUGUAGGUGGCUCAUUAAGUCACAUGUGAAAUCCCCGGGCUUAACCUGGGAACUGCAUGUGAUACUGGUGGUGCUAGAAUAUGUGAGAGGGAAGUAGAAUUCCAGGUGUAGCGGUGAAAUGCGUAGAGAUCUGGAGGAAUACCGAUGGCGAAGGCAGCUUCCUGGCAUAAUAUUGACACUGAGAUUCGAAAGCGUGGGUAGCAAACAGGAUUAGAUACCCUGGUAGUCCACGCCGUAAAACGAUGUCUACUAGCCG